GUUAUGGCUCAGUGGUAGAGCACUUGCCUAGCAUGUGUGAGGCACUGGGUUCAAUUCUCAGCACCACA
RNAcentral lists this transfer RNA (68 nucleotides) under Marmota monax (woodchuck). Its description in RNAcentral is "tRNA.Ala". Lineage: Eukaryota; Metazoa; Chordata; Mammalia; Rodentia; Sciuridae. The record is from RNAcentral.